GACGUCAAGUCCUCAUGGCCCUUAUGUCCGGGGCUACACACGUGCUACAAUGGGCAGUACAAAGCGUUGCUAAGCCGCGAGGUGGAGCCAAUCGCAAAAAGCUGUCCUCAGUACGGAUUGCAGUCUGCAACUCGACUGCAUGAAGGUGGAAUCGCUAGUAAUCGCCGAUCAGCACGCGGCGGUGAAUACGUUCCCGGGCCUU
RNAcentral lists this ribosomal RNA (202 nucleotides) under uncultured Stichotrichia. RNAcentral's name for it is "partial Bacterial small subunit ribosomal RNA". It matches the Rfam family "Bacterial small subunit ribosomal RNA", at positions 1181 to 1382 of the family's 1533-position model. The record is from RNAcentral. Lineage: Eukaryota; Ciliophora; Spirotrichea.